This 72-nucleotide transfer RNA is filed under the name Segatella hominis. RNAcentral describes it as "Prevotella sp. BCRC 81118 tRNA-Met". It matches the Rfam family "tRNA". Rfam says of the family: Transfer RNA (tRNA) molecules are approximately 80 nucleotides in length. Their secondary structure includes four short double-helical elements and three loops (D, anti-codon, and T loops). The record is from RNAcentral. RNAcentral also lists the same sequence under 1 other name. Lineage: Bacteria; Pseudomonadati; Bacteroidota; Bacteroidia; Bacteroidales; Prevotellaceae.
CGCGGUGUAGAGCAACGGCAGCUCGCUUGGCUCAUUCCCAAGAGGUUGCAGGUUCGAGUCCUGCCACCGCAA